This 244-nucleotide unclassified non-coding RNA is filed under the name plant metagenome. RNAcentral describes it as "partial contains small subunit ribosomal RNA, internal transcribed spacer 1, and 5.8S ribosomal RNA". The record is from RNAcentral.
UCUCCGUUUGUGAACCAGCGGAGGGAUCAUUACCGAGUUUACAACUCCCAAACCCAAUGUGAACCAUACCAAACUGUUGCCUCGGCGGGGUCACGCCCCGGGUGCGUCGCAGCCCCGGAACCAGGCGCCCGCCGGAGGGACCAACCAAACUCUUUCUGUAGUCCCCUCGCGGACGUUAUUUUUACAGCUCUGAGCAAAAAUUCAAAAUGAAUCAAAACUUUCAACAACGGAUCUCUUGGUUCUG